Molecule: long non-coding RNA, 37859 nt
Filed under: Gossypium barbadense (sea-island cotton)
Lineage: Eukaryota; Viridiplantae; Streptophyta; Magnoliopsida; Malvales; Malvaceae
Description: long non-coding RNA (GBAR_LNC000108)
Source: RNAcentral
GCAAAACGACGUCGUUUUUCAGGGGCUAUAUAAGCCAAAUCUUAGCCCAAAAAUCAUUUUAACAUUCGGUUUUAAAAAAAAUAUAAACGAAAUCCUCUGAAAGAGGAUUCGAGGGCUGAUUCCGGUGCUGUUGAACCUCCGUUCAGGAGUUUUCUCACGCGCUCACUCGCCACCACGCACGGUGGUCGGAGGGUCAAAACCUUCCCGCUUUUCAGCGAAAGUCAGGUAAUCUCUUUUCCUUUUCACUAUUUGUAAUAUAUGUUAAAAUAUUCAGCUUUGUAUUAGAUUGGCUACUGGUAUUGUGAGUCGAUCUUACUGUACUCUGUUGAAUUUGUUUGUAUAUUUCUCUCUUCGUAAAUCGUGUGUAUAUUAUUGUCUUUGUAAAAAUCGGGAUCCCUUUUACAAUGAAGGUAUUCGGGCUUUAUAGCCACUGUUUACAGUGUAUUUACAUCUUUAUUUUAUUUCCUUGCCAUAUUUGUUGGUUCUGCUCCCUCUUAUUUCCUUUUACAGGCGAUCGAAGAGAAGAAAGGGCACUGAUCUCGGCGUCGAUUUGCGUCUCAACAAGAUACGGGGCCUGGAAUCACGGCACCGAUGAAGGGUAGCUGAAAUGACGCAAGGUGAAACGGCGUGAUUGAAGAAAUGUUGAUAGGGGCAUGAUCGAUGGUGGCCUUGAUUUGGAAGCUGGAUAGAUGCUCCCUGAAUCUUCUAGAAGCAGUGACGGCUCAAGGAGGAAAAGGCAGAAACCGUAGAGUUUCCUGCCUUAAUGUAAUAGGUUGGGCCAAUUGGGCCACUUUAGUUCUGGGCUAGGCAGGGUGUAAUGGGUACCGGGUAAUUUAGCUGGGUUUUGGGUUUGGAUUUAGGCUAGUUGGGUUUUAACUUUUGGGCUGUAAAAGGAUUGUUUAAUAAAUAAACAUUUAUUUUUUUUUGUUUUCAAUUUUAAAGCCUGAGCAAUUUUUGGUUUUUACAGAGCAUUUAAUAAUUUGUACCUAUAUUCUUCAAAAAAAAAUUAUACCAAAAUGAUAUGAUAAAAUUUGUACAAAUGAUCAUCAAAAUUUAGUGUAACUAAUUAAUAUAAUUGGGAACUGUGAUGCAGUUAAUAAUAAUCUUUCUAAACUUCAUUUAAUACAUAAUUUAUUCAAGCAAAAUUGACAACUUAACUUUUUGCAUGUCUUGCAAGAGCAUAAUAGACUAACGGAUUGCAUGGCCACUUGUUCCUAGUUAUCUUAACAGGUUAUCAGCUUUUGAAGAUCUAACUAACCAUGCUCAAUCUUUUUUUGAAAAAAAAAUUUAUCGAGCAACGAUUAAUAUAGAUUCUCAUCACCCUUAUUGUAGCUAAUUCCUUGAAGUUGUUUCUUUUAAAAAAAAUCACAAAAUGUAGAAAUAACUAUUAAUAAACUUUAUAGGAAAACAAAUCAUCUGUAUAAAUAUUUAUCAAAGACAUUGCUAGAAAGCAAAGCUUAUGUUUUUUUUAGUCAAAUUAACGACUGUCUCUUCAUCAAACUAGUUCCAUAUCCCUUAAUAACUUCAUUUUGAUCUUAUUUUUAACUUUGUAACAAGCUCUUUAAGAUGAAGCCUCUCGUUUGGUAGCUCUACACAACAUUCUAAGCCAAGUUGCAAAAUGGAUAAAGCACAGUUAUUGACUUUUAAAUGUUCCCUUCCAAUGGUGCUCAACAACUUAGCAAGUGUUCUCUUCCACUGCUUAUUACUUUGACUAAAUUUCUGUGACGAGUGUUGCAGAGAACAUCACAUUCAACAUCAAAGAUCUUAAAAGCUCCUUCUAACUCUAACUUAAAGAACUUUACCGCAAUGAUCGUCCCAUCCGGGAGAGUCCCUUGGAAUACUGGACCAUAACUUCCAUUACUAAGCAACCUACUAUCAUUGAAUCCAUCAGUAGCUUGCCAAAGCUCGUGGUAUGAAAACCGUCUCCACGUUCCUAAAGUUAUCAUUUCUUAUUGAGUUGGCAAUUUGUCUUUCCUCCUCUUAUUUUGUACGAUAAUGAUUAUCAGAGCAACAAUCAAAAUUGUGGAGGCAAUUGGCAGAGCUACAUAUAUUAUGAGCUUCAGCUUAGUUUUUGCCUUGGAAUUUCUAAGAGGUCUAGUUUUGCAGUUUGGAACAUGAAGUCGAGUUGCACCACACAAGGCUUCACUACCCUUAAAUGAUUCGGUUGUGUAGUUUCCAAAUAAUCGUCCUUCAGGAAUUUCUCCUUCAAGUCUAUUAAAAGAGACAUUGAAAUAUUUGAGAUAACGAAAUUUUUCUAAGGAUUUGGGAAUCUCUCCAGAUAGAUUAUUUCUUGACAAGUCCAAGAAUUCCAAACUCAACAAUUCAUCAAAAGACUCAAGAGUAGAACCCAUGAUUCUAUUAUUGGAUAAGGAAAAAUGAGUAAGGUCCUUGAGAUCUGAAACUCUAGUUGGGAUAUCACCUGAGAACUGAUUAUUUGACAAAUCCGAACUAGUCAAAACUUUCCAUUUUCCAAUGUCAAUUGGCAGUGGACCACUCAGAGAAUUUGAAGAUAAUUAUAGGCUGAGGAGAUAGUUAAGCCUUGUUAACGUGGAAGGUAUUGAGGAGGAAAAUAUUGGCAAAUAUCCAUACUUUGAAAAGUCAAAGAUAUAGAUGUUAGAAAGUUGGAACCAAAAAUAAAAGUAUUUGUGGCACCAAAAUUUGGUUUGAAAUUUGGCAUGGGAUAAUUGUAAUUUUGGUCCCUAAUUGUAUAGGGAUUUUUGCAAGUUGAUCCCUAAACUUCAACUAUAAAUAGGCCUAACCAUUUCUCAUUUUCUUCAUCUCAUAUUUGUUAUUCUCUACCUAAAGCAUUAUUCUCUCUCCCUAUUUGUAAAUUUUCACUUGUAUUUUGGAGUGAAAUAUAUUUGGUAAUGCCCGAGGACGUAGGCAAAAUUUGCUGAACCUCGUUAAAAUUCUGGUGUUCUUUAUUGUUUAUUUUUGCAUAAUUUUGUGAGUGUGAUUGUAGUGAUUUAUUGUACUAUUAAAUUACGAUAGAGGGAUAUUCUGGCUAGGAAAGACCUGAUACUUAAGUGAUCCUCGUGAUCCACCUCUCUUUCCUGGGAAUUGAACUUAGUGUGAUUUUUCAGUACAAUAAUUUUACUCUUUUACACGCUUCUGGGCAACAAUUAGUAUUAGAGCUAGAUUCGUACUUGGGGAAUACGACCGUUUACGAUACUAUUCACGUAUACGGGAUUGUUUAAUAUACAGUAGUUAGGAUUGAGGAGAAAAAUGGCAGAGACAUCGUCAUCAGCAAGGACUACUGUGACCAAUACAAAAUUUGAAGUAGAGAUAUUUGACGGUACCAAAUAUUUUGGUAUGUAGAAAUGUGAGAUCCUGGAUGUCUUAUGUCAGCAAGAGCUAGAUAUAGCCCUUGAAGAAAAACCUGACAAGAUGGAUGACAAGGAGUGGGCCAAGAUUAAUAGACAGGCGUGUGGUACAAUCGGCCUAUGUUUGGCCAAAGAGCAGAAGUACUCUGUCAUGAGGGAGACAUCAGCGAAGAAGUUAUGGGAUACAUACACUGGAAGAAAAGUUUCUAAUGAAAAGUCUUAAAAAUAGGCUUUAUAUGAAAAAGAAACUUUUUCGAUUAACGUAUGCUCCCGGUAUGUCGAUGAAUGACCAUGUGAACUCAUUUAAUAAAAUUUUAGCAGACUUGCAAAUUUUGGUUGAGAAAUUUGAAUAUGAAGACAAGGAAUUAUUGUUGUUGAAUUCCCUUCCUGAUGAAUAUGAUUGUAGAAGCCCAAAUUGUCGGGCCCGAUUACAUCAAAACCCAACCAAACCUCUAAAUCCACUAAAACCCUUAACCCAUGGCCCAUUUACAUCUACCCAAACCCAUUACAAAACCCAAACAUUAAACCCAUUCAAAAGCCCAUUAAGCCCAAAAAAAAACCUAACCUAAAAAAAAAACCUAACCCCCCCAAAAAAAACCAAGAAACCCUAGCCACCUAGCCACUUUCCCACUUGCCCCAUUUUCCUCCCAUUUUUUAUAUCCAUUGUCUGCUACCAUCACCUACAAAAUAGAAAAAGAAAUAAUAGAAAAUCAUGUAAAAGAUGGCUAUAAAAAGCCAUUCAAAAAUCAUGUAAAUGGGGUUUUUUUGAGAAGAUUGAAAAAAAAAGACAAACACAAAAAUCCCUCCAAAUUUUGAAUACAAAAGAAAAUCAAUAAAAAGGUUUGCAUCUUUUUCUUUUCUUUUCUUUCGAAUCUUUUUUCUUUCUUUCUUUUUAUAUACAUAUACAUAUAUAUAUUAUUAAAAAAACAAUUUUUUUUACCUUUUUCGGCCACCGUGGACGGUGGCCGGCGGCGGCUACCGACGGCGGUCCGGUGACCGGAUGGUGACCAGUCUUGUGGCCAGAAAUCACCUCACCCCUCUCCCUCUCUCUUUUUUUUCCUUUUCAAGUGCAAGAAUGAAUUUUUUUUGAAGAAAAAAGGGUUUUUUAUAGCCCCCCAAAACGACGUCAUUUAGGGGUUGGCCAUUAAACCCCAAAACGAUGUCGUUUUGACUUGGACCGGUUCGACCCGACCCGACCCGCCUAGGAUCCGCAUGUUUUUUUAAAGGAAGGGCUAAUUCGCUUUUAGCCCUUCCACUCUUUAUUGCUUUGCAAUUAAGUCAUUAUUCGUUUUUUUAAUUUGGCCCCAAAAUUUGUCGCGAUUUUCAAUUUAGUCCCUGUUGAUGUGCUGAGUUUUGAUGGGGAAGGAAUAUUUUCUGUUUUGGCCCCCCACUGUUUCCGCGCGUGUUCAAUAUAGUCCUUUCCUUUUAUUUUUAUUUCAAUCUUGCCCCAAAUAUUUUGUUUUUAGUUCAAUUUAAUCCUUUUUUAGUUAUUUUACUAUUGAAAUUAAUUAUUUUAGUAUUAUUAUUAUAUUUUAUUUACUUAUGUGGUGUGUUAAUAAUUUUUAUCAUUUCUAAUACGUAUAUAUAUAUUAUAUGUAUUUUAUAUAUAUUAUGUAUAUAUUUUUUUAUUGCAAUUAGUUAUAUAUUUCUUAUAUUAUUCCAUGUAUGUAUUUUAUAUCAUUUUAUGUAUAUAUUCUUAAAUAUUAUUAUAUAUACAUAUAUAUAUGUAUAUAUUUUUAAAAUACCAUAUUGUGUAUAUAUUAUUAUUACUAAUUUUUACUAUUGCUAGUAUUAUUAUAAUUAUUAUUACAUUAGUGUAUAUUUUAUGUACACAUAUAUAUAUUUUGUACAUAUCAUUAUUUUAUAUUAUUGUUGUAAAUUUUUUUAUGUAUAUAUUUUUUAUGUACGUUUCCUAAUAUUUUCUUUUAUUGUAGAUAUUAUUCUUAUUAUUACAUACUUUUAUUAUAUGCACAUAUAUAUAUGUAUUUUUAUGUACAUAUUAUUAUUUUAUAUUAUUAUUACCAAAUAUAUCAUUUUUCCUAUUUUAUUAUUAGUACAUGAUUUGUUUUUAUUUUCUUUUUUUUUUGUAAAUAUCAUUGUUAUUGUUAUUCUAAUAUUCUAGUAUUCCAUGUUAAUAUUUUUCAUUAAUGAUAUCAUUUUUUGCGUCGUUUAUCUAUUUUUAAUUUCUCACUUUAGGAAUAUUUUUUCUCAUGUUUUAAUUAAUUUCAAUAAAUAAGGCAAUGUUUCGCAUUUUGGAACAUCGAAGAAUUGUGCCCUAACUUACGGGGUUUCGGUUCUCUCGUUGGUUUUAAAUAGCUAAAUAUCCUUUUGAGUUUUGAAAUACACGGAUUUCUCCUAACUUACGGGAUGUGAUACUCCGACAUCUCGAGAUAAGGAAAUCUUUAAACAAAUCGAUUUAAGCCAAUUCAAGAAUUUUAAAAUUAGUGUUAAUAGAAAAGAUCGUAUUUCAAGUCCCUUCCCGAUUUUUAAUUUUCGACAUUAAGACACUAACUAAUCAAUUCGGUACCAAUUUUUUGGGCGUGUCGAGGGUGCUAAUCCUUCCUCGCACGUAACCGACUCCCGAACUCAUUCUCUCAAGUUUCGUAGACCAAAGGCCCUGUUUUAGUAAACUAAAAUUGAUUUAUUAAAACAAAGGUGAUCCGAUCACACCUGAUAAAAGAUUGGUGGCGACUCCCGUUUUAAUUUUCACUUUCAAACAAAGUCGAUCCCCGUUUUCAAAAGAAUGGUUUCGACAGCUUGGCGACUCCGCUGGGGAGCUCGAGAGUCGAGCCUUAAAUUGAUUAUUUUUUGUCUUUUGUCAAAAAUUGAAAAUUGAUUUUAAAUUUACUGCAUUGCAUGUUGUCUGUUAUUUUCACGACUCUCUUCAUAAUAUGCUUGCUUUAAGUGGUUUAAUUCUUUGAGGUAUCUUUGCAUAUCGCAUCGCAUUAUUGGUCAAUUUCACCCUCUUAAGUGGAAGUGAAAAACUACUCCUUCGUGAGGUCUUCACUCCGUAUAGGAUAGUGGAUCGCUUUCGGGAUACAUCCGUACCUGCGUCUUCGUGAGGUUUUCACCUCCGUAUAGCCGUAGGGAAAUGUAUUCCCCUGAAUCGAACUCGGUCUGUAUGAACCUAUAAUGGGUGAGGAUCGAGGAAUCUACUGGUUCAGGUACCUUUACUUUAGAACCAAACUAUAUGUAAUGAGCCCUAGGAGCCUACCCUAGGUAGAACCACACCAAACCCUAGUGGUUACCUGAUUAGGUGCUUAUUUACUCACUAUUUGCUUUGAAUUCUAUUCUUUGUAUAUAAUUCUAACUUGUUGUAUUGUGAUCAUUUUCGCAUGACAUUUCAUCAUAAAAGGGUGUUGAUUUACGUUCGGUUACUAAUUAGAAGAGUUUAGCAUGGAAAAAGGAUUUCUUGAUAGAAUGGAGGAUAAUGUGGCCGUCCGAGUGUGGUCUGAGAGAAUGUAACAGGAGAAAGGAGAUAGUUUGACCGAGGGAUAUGAAUCGGAGUUGUAGGAUUUCACUCACAUCAGUGUGACUCAAAACGACCUGCAAGAGUUAAGGGAUAUACGGAAUAGUUGGAAUGGCGAAGUCAAACAACUCUUUUACUGUAACUACGGUGACCUACCCUAUUUGCUAGAUGUAAAGGUGGACAAGUACUUGUUCUGGGCCCUCGCACAAUUUUAGAACCCCGCUUACAGUUGCUUCACUUUUGGAGGAGUUGAUUUAGUACCUACGGUGGAGGAAUACAUGGCGUUACUUAAUUGCCCGAAGAUUCAGGCCGAUAGGGCCUAUUCAAGACCUGUUAAUGUCCCUCUCUUUUUGAAGAAAUUGAUGAAUAUCACGGGGAUGAGCGAGCAAUGGGUUGCGGCCCGCAUCAAGCAAAAAGGGGAUAGUAAAUGUAUUCCUUGGAGGAAUUUGAGGGAUUUUAUUCUUGCGCACCCGGAUUCGAAGAAAAGGGUUGAUGUUUUUGCCUUAAGUCUCUACGGUUUGAUCGUCUUUCCUAAAGCACUUGGACACAUAGAUGAAGCCGUCUCAGAUUUAUUCGAUCGACUUGAUAAUGGUACCACACCCGUCCCGGCAAUCCUAGCAGAAACUUUCCGAUCCUUGAAUACAUGCCGGAGAGCGGGCGAGGGAAGAUUUAUUGGUUGCGCACAGCUUCUUUUGGCUUGGUUCCACAGUCAUUUUAAGAAGGUGGAGAAGGUCUCCUAUCGGGUAUUCUCUAAGGAUUAUUCCUCAUUAAGAGAAUUAGUGGCCAGAUCGAGGCGGGACGACAUCUCCGAAGGGAGGUGGAUAACUAUUCUCUGAAAUUUACGGGCCGAAGACGUUGAAUGGAGGGCUCCGUGGUUGAUUCUUGACGAGAUCUUAUAUAGGUGCGGUGAUUUUGACUGGGUCCCUCUGGCUGGAAUAUGGGGAGCCAUUGGAUACACUCCACUGAUGGUGUUAAGGCAGUAUCGAUCAAGGCAGUUUAUACCGGUGACACAAGGGUUGGCACAAUGUGAGUUCCCCUAUAAAGACAACAAUUAUAAAAAGAGGGUUCACGAGAUAUCAGAUGCAUGGAACCAAACUCGAAGAAUGAAGGGAUUCACUGUAGGCCUGAUGACGACCCCUGAGUAUGAAUGGUGGUGGGGUAGGAGAGUCAAUGACAACAUCCCUAGGCAGAAUCAAGGGAACACACAACCUAUAGAGGAGUAUUUACGGGUCAUCCCAUCCGAGUUAGAGAUCAUUAAGCAAGAUUUUGAGAAAAGAAACUCGGAGUUGGGGAAGAAGAUAGAGCAGCUAGAAGAAGAUAAAAUGAAGUUGGGGUUAGACGUCGAUAUCCACAAGCUAGAGGCCGAGAAGUUAAGGAAAGGAAAGAACAAGGUCGAGGAAGAUUUAGAUAGUCUGAAAAUCGAUUACAAGAAGCUUCGUAUAACGAUAAAAACUGUCGGAUUAGGUAAAACGUCAAAGCAAUGGCGUCAAGAGAUUAAAGAGGAAAAGACUAGAGCCGACCAUUGGGAGAAAAGAUUUCAAGAUGCCCGAGUAUGAGAGGACACUCUGAAGAAGAGUUUGUUAGAAACCCAAAAUGAAAAGGAGAAGUUACGAGCUCGGGUGGCUAAAUUGAAAAGAUUACUUCAGCAACAUCGUAGCCAUAUUAGAGAAAAUAGAAGAACUCGAGACCGCACUGCGAGAUAGAAAAAUUCGAGUGGAACUUCUUGAGACAAACAACGACCAUUACAGAGAACAGCUUCACCACUCUCAAAACCAGAUUAGAGAUAGAGACUAUGUCAUGGGCGAAGCUAUAGCUCAGGUUCGGGAGAUAGCUGAUCACUUGCAAACCUUGGCAGUUCAGGCUGAUAUAUUGAGCUUAAAGUACGAGUCAGAAUCAGACUGAGGCCGAAGCUUAGCUUGGCUUCUUAGGAAAGUUAAAACUUUGGGCAUUAGGGCGAAGUCGUAUAUGUAAUUAUCCGUUCUAUGUAAAGAAAUUUUUCUUCUAGUGAAGUUCUUCUAAUGAAAUUGAAUUAAAAUCAACACCAAUUUCUUGCAUUUCUUUCAUGACUAACAUUCAUUUGACAUUUAUGCAUUCAUUCAUUCAUUGCAUAUCCCAUACUCGUUCGCUGAGGUUAAAACAUACAAUUCGUAGUUGUAAUACCACAAGACUGGAACCACGUCAUUCGUAUAGAACGCGCCGACAAGCUAGAGUAAUGGAGGCCGAAUUCAAUGAAAGGAUUGAAAGGAUGGAAAGAAUUCGAAGGGAAUUACAUGAGCAACUGGCCAAAUCGCAGCAAGAGACAAGAGACUUAAUGGUGAGAUCCCGAGAAGAAUCGCUCAAACAAAAGGAUCAAAUGGCCAAGAUAAUGGAAAUGAUGUCAGCUUUAGUUAAGGGAAAGGGACCUAUGAACCCUGACAUUGUGGAACCACGGUCAAGGGGUAAUCUCGAUCAAGAUCCACCCCAUCCGCCAGGAUUUACUCCACCACAUGCCCACGCAAUACAAAGAGGAUACACUCAAUGGGAACCUACAGGCCCGGAGCAACGACCGGCACCACUUGUUAACUUGGGACAAGGAAUGUUCGUGUCGAACCCAGGGGCUAGUCCUGCUGAUCCACUAGUUCCAGAUUUGGACGACCCAGCGGAGAUAGCUAGGUUGAAAUUAGAUAAUCAUGACGCAAAAUGAUAAGUAUAGGAGCCUUGAAGAAAAACUUAAAGCAAUAGAGGGUACUGAAGCCUUUUCUGCAUUGAAUGCCAAAGAGCUCAGUUUGGUGCCUGAUCUGGUUCUGCCUCCGAAAUUUAAAGUACCAGAUUUCGAAAAAUACGAUGGCACGAGAUGUCCAAAGGCACAUCUUGUCAUGUUUUGCCGAAAAAUGACUGGUUACGUGAAUGAAGACAAGCUACUCAUACAUUGUUUUCAGGAUAGUCUAGUAGGAUCGGCUCUUCGGUGGUAUAACCAGCUUACUAGGGAAAAGAUCCGAUCUUGGAAGGACUUGGCGUCAACCUUCUGUGAGUAGUACAAGCAUUUGUCGAAUAUGGUGCCUGAUCGAAUGACCCUACAAAUGAUGAAAAAGAAACCAGCAGAAACCUUUAGACAGUAUACGCAAAGAUGGAGAGAUAUCUCGGCCCAAGUGGAGCCUCCACUGACUAAGACUGAGAUAACAAUCCUUUUCAUCAAUACUCUGAGAGCACCAUUCUAUGACAAGCUGGUAGGAAGUGCUACAAAGGAUUUUUCGAAUAUCGUAAUAUCCGGAGAACUUAUAGAGAAUGCCAUCAAAAGUGAGAAGAUAGAAGGUUUAGAAAGUUCAAAAAGGGUAGCGCCCAUGAAGAAGAAAGAACCAGAAGCCCAUAUGGUAGGAAUGAGAAGCCGUUAUACCCCUAAUCCAUAUCCAAACCAACCCCGACCUUGAAAUUAUCCUCCUCCGAAUUUCUAUUAUCCUUCUCAAACCCCUUACUACCAAGCAUCACCUCCUUUCUACCCUGUAUACGCCAUGAAUAACCAAAGGCCCGUCACUACAUUCCCACAAAACACUCUACCCGCUCAAAGCCAACCCAGAAAUGAACCAAGACCAAUAAGGCCCGAUCCCGAGAGACAGCAAUUCACCCUUAUUCCUGUGUUGUAUGGGGAAUUGUACCCAAAACUUCUGGAGAAGCAAUUAAUAUCUCCCCAUUACAUGGCACCCCUUAAACCUCCAUACCCGAAAUGGUACGAUCCAAAUGCUAGUUGUUCAUACCAUGCUGGGAACCAAGGGCACUCUACGGAAAACUGCCUGGCCUUCAAAAGGAGAGUUCAAGGACUCAUUGAUGCGGGUAUUCUACGAUUUGAUGGCACUGGCGGUACAUCCGGGAACCCAUUACCAAACUACACCGAAGGAAAUGUGAGUGCAGUGGGAGAGGAGGACAAACGACAAAGUAGAAGAUGGGUUUCUGAAAUAAGAACACCUCUGCAGAAAAUAUAGGAGGUGCUAGUUGAAAAGGGUUUGCUUUGUCAUCUUAACAGAGUAUUCGAGGGAAGGAAUACAAAAGAUCAAAGUUUUUGUGAAUUCCAUGGUAUUGAGAGGCACGACAUUCAAUCCUGCGAAGAGUUCAGGAGAUUACUGCAAAAUAUGAUAGACAAUAAGGAGAUUGGGAUUUUUUAUAAAGGCGAAGAAGCUGAUAGAGGAGAAAUAUGCGCCUCUGACCAUCAAUCGUUAGGUUUCCUGUAUAGCGUCGACCGACUGUUAAUAAUUUAUUAUGAUGCGAAGAAGGAACCGGUGAAACCAAAAGUGAUAAUCGAGGUACCAUCUCUUUUCCCCUACAAGGACAAUUAAGCAGUACCAUGGAAAUAUGACGUUAAUCUCGUCACACCUGAAGAUGAAAAACCCAAAGCCAUGACUGGAAGCAUUGGGGAAGUAGGUCAUUUCACUCGUAGUGGAAGAUGUUAUUCGAAAGAGGUCGAAUCAGUAAAGAAAAACAGUGACUUGAAACAGAAAGGAAAAGCACCGAUACAUGUGACCGAAGAUGAGUAUGAAACUGUGCCUGAACAAGAAGCUAAAAAGCCUGUGGACGAGGAGGAAGCACAGGAAUUCUUAAAAUUUAUCAAGCACAGUGAGUAAAACGUGGUAGAAUAAUUGAGUAAGCAGCUAGCGUGAAUCUCGGUAUUAUCUCUGCUGUUGAAUUCAGAACCACACCGGAAUGCUCUGCUGAAAGUGUUAAAUCAAGCUUAUGUGGCAAACAAUGUAUCCGUUGAAAAACUAGAUAGGUGGGUGAACAACUUGAAUACGGAUAAUUUCAUUUCUUUUAAUGAUGAUGAAAUACCGCCCAAUGGUAGAGGCUCAGUGAAAGCAUUGCAUAUCAUAACCCGUUGUAAGGGCUAUAUAAUACCGAACGUGCUCAUCGAAAUGGAUCGGCACUCAAUGUCAUGCCUUUGGCCACACUUUCCAGGAUUCCAAUGGAUUUUUCCUAUCUAAGGCCCUGCCAUUCUACAGUAAGUGCAUUCGAUGGAACAAAACGAGAAGUUAUGAGAAAAAUCGAGAUCCCUCUAGAAGUGGGUCCCUACAUAUACGAUGUUGAGUUUCAAGUCAUGGACAUUACACCAUCAUACAAUUGUCUCUUGGGAAGACCUUGGAUCCAUUCUGCUGGAGCAGUCCCAUGAUCCCUCCAUCAAAAAGUAAAGUUCAUCAUGGAUGGUUGUUUGGUCACUGUCGAGGGAGAAGAAAACAUUAUCUCAUCUAUCUCUGCUGAUGCGCCAUAUCUUGAAUUAAGCAAAGACGCAGUGGAAUGUUCCUUCUGAUCCAUUGAAUUUGUCAAUGCCACUUUUGUCGCUGAGGGAAAUAGAAUUUCGGUGCCAAAACUGUCGAAAAAUACCAGAAUGGGUGUCAAGUUGACUGUAGGAAGGGAAGCUCGAGCGAGAAUAGGUUUAGGGAGAUAUCUGCAAGGAAUAGUCAGGGCUCUAAAACCAGUGCACCACAAGGCCCGAUACGGUUUAGGGUUCCAGCCAGACAUGCGUCAAAGAAGAAGAUAGUGGAAGAAAGAUCAGGAAAGAAGGAUCGCGAGAACCUUAGGCCGAGAACUAGAAUGGGAGCCUAUGGAAUUCCCUCCUUUGUCAAGAAAAUUUAUGUCUGCGGGAAUGAUAUACCCGAGGCAGGACAAGGCACAAUGUUAAUGAUAAAAAAUAGUUUUCAGAACAUCAGUAUAAAUGUCAUUAACAAAGGAGCUGACACAAGUAAAGAUGUCUUAAGGAUACGCCUUUGUCCCCCAGGUUUCAUGUUGAACAAUUGGACUGCCGAGUACCUUCUUGAAGUUUAUAAGUCUUCUGAGUAAAGCUCAAACAUUAACAUGCUAUUGUGUCCUAAGAUAUAAUAAAAUUCUUUUGUAAGAGUUUGCAUUCGCUCUUUAUCAUUCAAAUGAAUAUCAAUGAAGAUGCAUUUUGUCAUGAUCUUUCGUAUUAUCACUAAUUUCAUAAUCAUUUUCUCAUUUCAUAGCCUGUCCUCACAUUUGCCUCAUGCCAUGCCAUAACAUUUUGUUUGUUGGUUCCAAUACUUGGAUGCCCUUCUAUAGUCUCCUUUUUCAUUCAACUUUUAGGUGCUCAGAUGUCAACAGCAUGAACAAACCCGUUACGAGUCCUGAAAUCGAUUUUGAGAAGGCUAUUUGUUUAGGAGAAUUCGAAGCCGAAGAAAAUGCUGAAGACUAUGUCUCGUCUCCUGACUUGCUAAGAAUGGUGGAACAAGAGGAUAAACAGAUUUUGCCUCAUCAAGAAUCUGUUGAAACAAUAAAUUUGGGAACUGAAGAAAUGAAGCAAGAAGUGAAGAUUGGGACCUCUAUUUCAGGGGGUACCAGGCAUAAUUUGAUUGCUUUGCUUCGCGAGUAUAAAGAUGUAUUCGCAUGGUCAUAUCAAGAAAUGCCAGGAUUGGAUGAAGAUGUAGUGGUUCAUAAGCUCCCGUUAAAACCAGAAUGCAAACCCACUCAGCAAAAGCUAAGACGGAUGAGACUUGAGAUGCUGUUGAAGAUAAAAGAAGAGGUCAAAAAGUAAUUCAAUGCGGGUUUCUUACAAGCUUCCAAAUAUCCAGAAUGGGUGGCUAACAUAGUCCCGGUGCCAAAGAAAGAUGGCAAAGUACGAAUGUGCGUGGAUUAUCGUGACCUGAAUCGAGCAAGUCCUAAAGAUAAUUUUCCCUUACCGCACAUUGAUACGUUGGUAGAUAACACAGCAAAACAUUCAUUAUUUUCUUUCAUAGAUGGAUUCUCGGGGUAUAAUCAGAUCAAAAUGGCCCCUGAGGAUAUGGAUAAAACUACCUUCAUAACAAUGUGGGGAACAUUCUGCUACAAGGUGAUGCCAUUUGGGCUAAAAAAUGCUGGGGCAACAUAUCAGAGGGCUAUGGUGACGUUAUUCCAUGACAUGAUGCAUAAAGAAAUAGAGGUCUAUGUCGACGAUAUGACCGCUAAGUCCUGAGGGGAAGAAGAACAUGUGGUGAACCUCAAGAAGUUGUUCGGAAGGCUGAGAACGUUUCAGCUAAAACUUAAUUCAGCCAAAUGUACGUUUGGGGCUACCUCAGGAAAGUUGCUAGGCUUCAUUAUCAGUGAAAGAGGUAUCGAGGUUGAUCCGGAUAAAAUAAAAUCCAUUCAAGAGUUACGACCUCCGCGCACGCAAAAAGAAGUCAGAGGAUUUUUAAGGAGGUUAAACUACAUCGCCCGAUUCAUCGCUCAACUUACCAACCAAUGCGACCCAAUCUUUCGGCUUCUUCGAAAAAAUAACCCGGGAGAAUGGAAUGAGGAAUGCCAGGUGGCCUUUGAUAAGAUAAAACAAUAUUUGUCUAGUCCUCCAGUGCUAUUACUGCCAACUCCGGGAAGACCAUUGAUAUUGUAUUUGACUGUGUUCGAAAAUUCAUUGGGUUGCGUACUAGUGCAACACGAUGAGUUAGGAAAGAAAGAAAAUGUGAUCUUCUACCUCAGUAAAAAGUUCACUGACUAUGAGGCAAAGUAUUUAUCCAUUGAAAAAUACUGUUGCGCUCUGGUUUGGGUAGCUCGGAGACUCAGGCAAUACAUGUUGUAUUAUACAACAUGGUUAAUUUCAAAGCUGGAUCCAAUAAAGUACAUGAUGGAAUCAUCGGCACUCUCAGGAAGAAUAGCACGAUGGCAGCUCCUCUUAUUGGAAUACAACAUUGCCUAUGUAAGUCAGAAGUCGAUAAAAGGGAGUCCAAUAGCUGAUUUUUUAGCUGCUCGAACGACAAAGAAAUAUGAGCCGUUGAGAUUUGAUUUCCCGGAUGAAGACUUGAUGUGCAUUGCAGAAAAAGAAUACGAGUUAUCAAAAAAGAAGUCAUGGAAGAUGAGCUUUGAUGGUGCAUCGAACGCAUUGGGGCAUGGGAUUGGAGCAGUCUUAGUAUUGCCAGAAGGGAACCAUUACCCACUCACUGCCAGGCUGAACGUUUUCUGUACCAAUAACAUAGCAGAAUAUGAGGCUUGUAUCAUGGGGCUUCGUGUAGCAGUUGGACGAAACAUCAAAACUUUAGAGGUAUACGGAGACUCAGCCUUGGUGAUAUACCAAAUUCGUGGAGAUUGGGAAGUGAUUCGAAACUGGUCAAAUACAGUGAUCUAGUGGCAGAGCUGAUUAAAGAAUUCGAAGAAAUAACUUUUAAUUACCUCCCAUGAGAAGAAAACCAAUUGGCUGAUGCCCUGGCCACUUUGGCUUUAAUGUUCAAAGCAAACAGAGAAACAAAAAUAAUGCCUCUUCAAAUGAGCAUAUAUGAAGUCCCUGCACAUUGUUUCAGCAUUGAAAAAGAGUCGGAUGGACGGCCAUGAUUCCAUGAUGUCUUAGAAUAUAUUAAGAAUCAAAAGCAUCCCGAACAAGCAAAUGAGAACGACAAAAGAACAAUCAAAAGAAUGGCAGCGGGAUUCGUUAUUGAUGGGGAUAUCCUGUACAAAAGAGGAAAAGAUCAGGUGCUCUUGAGAUGCGUAGAUGCUGUUGAAGCCAGAAAAAUAAUUGAAGAUGUCCACGAGGGAAUUUGUGGGACACAUGCCAAUGGUUUCACUAUGGUCAGGAAGAUUAUGAGACUCGGUUACUACUGGCUGACGAUGGAAAGCGACUGCAUUAGUUUUGCAAGAAAAUGCCACAAAUGUCAAAUUUAUGGCGAUAAGAUUCAUGAAGCCCCUUCGCCCCUUCAUGUCAUGACUUCUCCGUGGCCCUUUUCUAUGUGGGGCAUGGAUGUUAUAGGGCUAAUUUCCCCAAAAGCUUCUAAUGGACACCGGUUCAUUUUUGCGAUUAUUGAUUACUUCACAAAAUGGAUAGAAGCUGCUUCGUUUAUCAAUGAGACAAAGACUGCAGUUUGCAGGUUUUUGAAAAAGGAAAUCAUUUGUUGAUAUGGUUUGCCUGAGAGAAUCAUUUCAGAUAAUGCCUUGAAUCUGAACAACAAGAUGAUGAAGGAAGUGUGUGAGCAGUUUCAAAUAAAGCAUCAUAACUCGUCACCCUAUCGCCCGAAAAUGAACGGAGCUGUUGAAGCAGCGAACAAGAAUAUUAAGAAGAUUAUUGGGAAAAUGACUGAGACAUAUAAAGAUUGGCACGAGAAGCUACCAUUUGCUUUGUAUGCAUAUCGCACAUCUGUACGGACAUCUACGGGGGCAACUCCUUUCUCUCUGGUCUAUGGAAUAGAAGCUGUGCUACCUAUCGAAGUUGAGAUCCCCUCUUUACGAGUCUUAACGGAUUCGAAACUAGAGGAGGCAGAAUGGGUUCGAGCUUGAUAUGACCAGUUAAACCUCAUCGAAGAAAAACGUUUAAAGGCAAUUUGUCACGGACAGAUGUACCAGAAGAGAAUGAUCGUGGCCCAUGACAAGAAAAUACGGCCAAGAGAAUUCCACGAAGGAGAACUCGUGCUGAGAAAGAUUCUUCCAAUACAUAAGGACUUACGAGGAAAAUGGGCACCAAAUUGGGAAGGACCAUAUGUCGUAAAGAAGACAUUCUCGGGUGGAGCUUUGAUUCUCAUUGAGAUGGACGGGAAGGAGUUACCUAAUCCAGUGAAUUCAGAUGCUGUGAAGAAAUAUUAUGCCUAAAAAAAAAGAGGGGAUCAAGGUGAAAACCCAAAAACGGCAUCUUGAUUAACACAAAAGAUUAGGAUGAAAACCCGAAAGGGCAUUCUAAUAAAGCAAACCCAGGCUUAAAGAGCAAGGCAGUUGAAUGGUGGGUUAAACAGCGAAACUACAUCAUUUGAAGCAUUUUUCAGUAGCUCAAAAUCUUCUACGCAAGAAGCCAGGCUAGAAAAGAUUCUUGAUUAGAAACGUGGAAAAGUUCGUGUGUUGAAUAUCUAGAGCAUCUGUAUCCAUUGAAUGCGAUCUGUUUUCUCUUUAUGACACUUUCUCAUUAUCAUUGGUUAAUUUUCUUUGUUUGCCACGUUUGAAAUAAAUAAAUGUGAGGUAUCCCUUUGUCCCUUCCUGACCAUUUUCAUGCAUCUCAUUAUGUCGUUUAUUUUUAUGAUAAAUAGUGAAAUGACAUACUCUAAACAAAAGAAAUGUUAACCAUUACCUGGAUAAGAACUCGAUAAGUACAAGAGCCGCAAAGCAAGGACAAAGUUCAACCAGGGGCAAGAGAGCGAUAAUUGAGAAACGCAGAUUGUUCGUGAAGCCUGAGGACGGGUAUAGGGCCUAAAGAGAAAGUCAAGAGCUGAAGUAAUGAAUACAGGUCAUCGCAAAAAUCAUGACGAAGAAGGACAUACGACAAAUAUGCCUAAAGCUCAUAGCAUAAUCAUGUAGGCAUAAAAUCAUUCAAGACAAACAUGUGCAUAUCAUGAUAACAUCAUGCAUGAUAUAUACAGGUACUCCAGUAGAGCAAGAGGAUGUGAUGAUAGCUGUACUGAAUCAAAGGAAAAGACACCUGAGUUCCACCAGAUGACAGGUUUUGGUAUUUUGAUGUUGUUACUUCCGUUUUCAAAAAAAUCAACUCAUAUUGUAAGAGGUGAGUUGAACCUCAAGUCGUUGAGGUGUUUUCAAUUUAUUUUUCAAAAAUCAACUCAUAUUGCGAGAGGUGAGUUGAGCCUCAAGACAUGCUGAGGUAUUUUCAAUUUGUCUUUCAAAAAAAAAAUUCAACUCAUAUUGCGAGAAAUGAGUUGAGCCUCAAGACACGUUGAGGUAAUUUCAAUUUCUGUUUUCAAAAUUCAACUCAUAUUGCGAGAAAUGAGUUGAGCCUCAAGACAUGCUGAGGUAUUUUCAAUUUCUGUUUUUCAAAAAAAAAAAUCAACUCAUAUUGCGAGAGGUGAGUUGAGCCUCGGGACACGCUGAGGUAAUUUCAAUUUCUGUUUUCAAAAUUCAACUCAUAUUACGAGAAAUGAGUUGAGCCUCAAGACACGUUAAGGUAUUUUCAAUUUCUGUUUUCAAAAAUCAACUCUUAUUGCGAGAGGUGAGUUGAGCCUCGGUUCACAUGCUGAGGUAUUUUCAAUUUCUGUGUUUCAAAAAAAUUCAACUCAUAUUGUGAGAAAUGAGUUGAGCCUCAAGACACGUUUGAGGUAAUUUCAAUUUCUAUUUUCAAAAUUCAACUCAUAUUGUGAGAAAUGAGUUGAGCCUCAAGACACGUUGAGGUAAUUUCAAUUUCUAUUUUCAAAAUUCAACUUAUAUUGCGAGAAAUGAGUUGAGCCUCAAGACACGUUGAGGUAAUUUCAAUUUCUGUUUUCAAAAUUCAACUCAUAUUGCGAGAAAUGAGUUGAGCCUCAAGACAUGCUGAGGUAUUUUCAAUUUCUGUUUUUUUUUCAAAAAAAUCAACUCAUAUUGCGAGAGGUGAGUUGAGCCUCCGGACACGCUGAGGUAAUUUCAAUUUCUGUUGUCAAAAAAUCAACUCGUAUUGCGAGAGGUGAGUUGAGCCUCAGGUCACACGCCGAGGUAUUUUCAAUUUCCGUUUUUCAAUUUCUGCCUUUCAAAAAAAAAUCGACUCAUAUUGCGAGAGGUGAGUUGAGCCUUGGCUCACGCGUUGAGCUAUUUUCAAUUUCUGUCUUUCAAAAAAAUCAACUCAUAUUACGAUAGGUGAGUUGAGCUUCAGAUCACACACUGAGGUAUUUUUUCAAUUUAUAUUUUUCAAAAAAAUUAACUCAUAUUGCGAGAGGUGAGUUGAGUUUUUUAAUUUCUGUGAGAGGUGAGUUGAGCUUUUUAAUUUCUGCGAAAGGUGAGUUGAGCCUCGAGUCACAUGUCGAGGUAUUUUCAAAAUUUGCUUUUUAAGAUAAGUUUCAAAAAUCAACUCAUAUUGCGAGAGGAUCACAUGCCGAGUAGAGAAUAAAGAUUGAAGCUGAUUGAAGACGUCAGAUUCUGUCUCCUUAAAGUUGCAGUGGAGUUGAUCGAGGACAUCAGAUCUUGCCUUUCUGAAGUCGCAGAAGAAAAGACCACAAACCUUAUCUCACUGAAGCGAUAGAAGAGCAGAUUGAAGUUGUAGAUCUCACCUUUCUGAAGUUACAGUGAAGUAGAUUGAAGCCAUAAAUUUCAUAUCCUUAAAGUUACAUUGGAAUAGAUUGAAGCUACAAGGCGUAUAUCAUAAGAUGCAGUGGAGUGAACCAAAGCUACAAGAUGCGGUGGACUGAAAAGGGACUAACUAAACAAGAAGAGUUCCAAAGCAAGUCAAGACCUAGCAAGACCGGGCAAAUUUGGUCUUCCUUGAAAGUCUUUGCUCUAUUCCCGUUGCACGACAAUGAGCAAAGAGGGGCAGCUAUAGAAGCCCAAAUUGCCCGGGCCCGAUUACAUCAAAACCCAACCAAACCUCUAAACCCACUAAAACUCUUAACCCAUGACCCAUUUACAUCUACCCAAACCCAUUACAAAACCCAAAUAUUAAACCCAAUUCAAAAGCCCAUUAAGCCCCCCCCAAAAAACCUAACCCUCCAAAAAAAAACCAAGAAACCCUAGCCACCUAGCCACUUUCCCACUUGCCCCAUUUUCCUCCCAUUUUUGAUAUCCAUUGUCUGCCACCAUCACCUACAAAAUAGAAAAAGAAAUAAUAGAAAAUCAUGUAAAAGAUGGCUACAAAAAGCCAUUCAAAAAUCAUGUAAAGGGGGUUUUUUUGAGAAGAUUGAAAAAAAAAGACAAACACAAAAAUCCCUCCAAAUUUUGAAUACAAAAGAAAAUCAAUAAAAAGGUUUGCAUCUUUUCUUUUUUCUUUUCUUUUGAAUCUUUUUUCUUUUCUUUUGAAUCUUUUUUCUUUCUUUCUUUUUAUAUACAUAUACAUAUAUAUAUUAUUAAAAAAAACAAUUUUUUUACCUUUUCCGGCCACCGUCCACGGUGGCUGACGGUGGUCCGGUGACCGGAUGGUGACCGGUCUUGUGGCCAGAAAUCACCUCACCCCUCUCCCUCUCUCUUUUUUUUUCCUUUUCAAGUGGAAGAAUGAAUUUUUUUGAAGAAAAAAGGGCUUUUUAUAGCCCCCAAAACGACGUCAUUUAGGGGUUGGCCAUUAAACCCCAAAACGACGUCGUUUUGACUUGGACCGGUUCGACCCGACUCGCUCGUCUAGGAUCUGCAUGUUUUUUUAAAGGAAGGGCUAAUUCGCUUUUAGCCCUUCCGCUCUUUAUUGCUUUGCAAUUAAGUCAUUAUUCGUUUUUUUAAUUUGGCCCCGAAAUUUGUCACGAUUUUCAAUUUAGUCCCCGCUGAUGUGCUGAGUUUUGAUGGGGAAGGAAUAUUUUCUGUUUUGGCCCCCUACUGUUUCCGCGCGUGUUCAAUAUAGUCCUUUCCUUUUAUUUUUAUUUCAAUUUUGCCCCAAAUAUUUUGUUUUUAGUUCAAUUUAAUCCUUUUUUAGUUAUUUUACUAUUUAAAUUAAUUAUUUUAGUAUUAUUAUUAUAUUUUAUUUACUUAUGUAGUGUGUUAAUAAUUUUUAUCAUUUCUAAUUGUGUAUAUAUUUUUUUAAUGCAAUUAGUUAUAUAUUUCUUAUACUAUUCCAUGUAUGUAUUUUAUAUUUCUUAUACUAUUCCAUGUAUGUAUUUUAUAUCAUCUUAUGUAUAUAUUCUUAAAUAUUAUUAUAUAUACAUAUAUAUAUUUUUAAAAAUACCAUAUUGUGUAUAUAUUAUUAUUACUAAUUAUUACUACUGCUAGUGUUAUUAUAAUUAUUAUUACAUUAGUGUAUAUUUUAUGUACAUAUAUAUAUUUUUGUACAUAUCAUUAUUUUAUAUUAUUGUUGUAAAUUUUUUUAUGUAUAUAUUUUUUAUGUAUGUUUCCUAAUAUUUUCUUUUAUUGUAGAUAUUAUUACAUACUUUUAUUAUAUGCACAUAUAUAUAUGUAUUUUAAUGUACAUAUUAUUAUUUUAUAUUAUUAUUACCAAAUAUAUCAUUUUUCCUAUUUUAUUAUUAGUACAUGAUUUGUUUUUAUUUUCUUUUUUUUUGUAAAUAUUAUUGUUAUUGUUAUUCUAAUAUUCUAGUAUUCCAUGUUAAUAUUUUUCAUUAAUGAUAUCAUUUUUUGCAUCGUUUAUCUAUUUUUAAUUUCUCACUUUAGGAAUAUUUUUUCUCAUGUUUUAAUUAAUUUCAAUAAAUAAGGCAAUGUUUUGCAUUUUGGAACAUCGAAGAAUUGUGCCCUAACUUACGGGGUUUCGGUUCUCUCGUUGGUUUUAAAUAGCUAAAUAUCCUUUUGAAUUUUGAAAUACACGGAUUUCCAAUUUAAAUUAAAAGACGACCUUGUGCUCGGGAAUUCAUGGUAUUGUGUCCUAACUUACGGGAUGUGAUACUCCGACAUCUCGAGAUAAGGAAAUCUUUAAACAAAUUGAUUUAAGCUAAUUCAAGAAUUUUAAAAUCAGUAUUAAUAGAAAAGAUCGUAUUUCAAGUCCCUUCCCGAUUUUUAAUUUUUGACAUUAGGACACUAACUAAUCAAUUCGUUACCAAUUUUUUGGGUGUGUCAAGGGUGCUAAUCCUUCCUCGCACGUAACCGACUCCCGAACUCAUUCUCUCAAGUUUCGUUGACCAAAGGCCCUAUUUUAGUAAACUAAAAUUGAUUUAUUAAAACAAAGGUGAUCCGAUCACACCUGAUAAAAGAUUGGUGGCAACUCUAGUUUUAAUUUUCACUUUCAAACAAAGUCGAUCCCCGUUUUCAAAAGAAUGGUUUCGACAAUGAUCAUCUUACCACCAUAUUGCUUCAUGGGAAGGAUGUAACACCCCAAACCCGACCCAGACAUUAUGGCCGAAUCUGACGUGCCACAUUGUAGUUAAAAAUCCAUGUCUCAUUUUAGCGUUUUGUAAACCGUCUUUUGUUAAGCUAACAAAGUGAAUGGAAGCUGGGCACCAGGUAGGAAUUCUUAACAGAGGAGGUGAGCCAUGAAGGCUGCUUAAGUACCAAGCUCUUCGAUUGGAUCCAAUCCUAGACAUGCCCACAACCAUUGCCACACUUGGUUAUAUCAAGUUUAAAAUUUAUCUAAGUUGAUAUCUUUGAUAAAUCGAAUAAUCGUGGCGUUGUGUUAUUUUGAAAUCAAGUAUCAUUUUGAAAACACGUCCUAAGUCUAGCCCAUUUAUUAUCAACCAGAUUAAAGUUAUUAAAAAUAAAAUAAUCUAGAAAAGAAAUAAAAGAAAAGUUAAAAUGGCCUUAUUACAAUCCAAAAAUAAAUAAAUAAAGAAAUCUUAAAGAAAACCAAACGCUUAAUUAAAAGCCCAAAGGUGAUCACCGUGGCCACUCUGAAUCCCCUCCGGCUCCAAGUCCCCAUAUCAAGGCUCACCUGCAAGGUUAAGGAAAUGGGUGAAUUUGGAAACUCAGUGUGCAACAAGCCCCUUUCAGAGCCCAAAACAAUAUCAGCCUGCAGGGCCUAAGCCCAAAUCCAAUCUCAACAUAUACUGGGCUGAAGCCUUUUAAUAUUUCAUAUUUGAUAACACUGGGCCGAAGCCUUUUCAUAUUUCAUAUUACUGGGCCGAAGCCUUUAUUGUAAACGGUCUGGCCCAUAGGCCCAUUUCAAUAUCAUAUGCAAUGUCAAUAAAAGAAUGAAUGCAAGCCCAUUUGGGGAGACUACUCAACCCACCAUCCGUUACUCUCCACCCGUACCAACCAAGCUCUCCAUGUGGGGAAUAACUCAACCCACCCAGCCAAAACUCUCCAUUGGCAGCAUAGCUGCUUUAUCAUAUAACUGGAGGCCUAGCCUCUUUUAAUAACUGGUGCAAAAGCCCUUUUAGGUAAACUGGGGCAUAAGCCCUUUUUGGUAAACUGGGGCAUAAGCCAUUUUCGGUAAAUUAGGGCAUAAGCCCUUUUUGCACUUCCUCUAUCCAUAUAAAAACCCAACCCAAUGCAUUAUGAAUACAUCAUGUGCAUAUCAUACAUAUCAUGUACAUAUCAUACAUAUCAUGUGCAUCUCAUAUCAAUCAUGUAUAUCAAAAUCCCAUGUAUCAAAUUCUUAAUUAAACUUUAGGGGUAUAAUGGUCAUUUUCACCUAGGGGCAAAAUAGUCAUUUUCAUAUUAUAAGGGUGAUUCCGUAAUUUUACCAAAUUUAGGGAUUUUUCAUGUUCAUUAUCAGUUACUAACUAUUCAUUUGUUUAAACAGCGAUUCUGGCCCAUUUUUAGCAAAACUGAGUUAUUGGGCCAAAAACCCCUAAUGGGCCCUACACAGCCGAUUUUGUCAUCUAGGCCUAUUUAGCCUAUAGUCCAUAACGGUAUUAACAGUCUUAACAUGCAAGUUAAUAGAUUCCCAUUUUCUACCAAGUUUACCCAAAUGGGCCCGAAAGUCCAUUGGGCCCUAUUUCAACCCUUCGAGGCCCAACUUACCGUGAACGCCAAAAAUCACGCUCUUACCUUUUCCAACGUUCCCGAUCAUCAUCUUAGCGGAUCUAACUAACUAAUGAGCGUUCGUUUGCUCACAAGUCCUCGAAAUGCCAGAAUUUUGGCAUUUCGACUUUUCGGCAUUUAUCGCUUUAAGCUAUGAAAAAGGGUUCGUUACACACCUGAUUUGCGAUAUUCCUCGACUAGAUCUCCUACAUGUUUUCUCCUAUAAUCAACCAUUAAUAGAUCAGCUCACAAUAAUCAACCCAAAUCGAGAACCAUCCAUUGUAGACACUUACACAUUCGGCCACCCUCCAUAAUGGCCUUAGAAACCUUACCUUUGCCGAAAUUGAUGACUAGCUCUAGCCUCUCCGAUGAUCCAAACUAAUCCAAGUCGACACCAUGCCUUGCUACUCCUCUACUAUACAAACCAUAAAAAAAUUUAAAAGAAAACCCAAUAAGACCUUUACUCACAUUCGGCCACCUCCCUAAACUAGAGGGCUUUUGACUUUUGUCAACAGAUAUACUAGGAACCGUUUAGAGUUUGAGCACUUACCACAGUCUCUUCUUCUUGAAUCCAUCUAUGCCUAGAAGAUAAGAGAAUUGACCAUUAAAAAGUGAAAAGAAAUAGAGGGUUGUUGGUCAACAAAGAAUCGGCACCCCUAGUCUCCAUAGAUUUCGACUUUUUGCGGUAUUUCGGCAGAAGUAAAGGUAAGGGAAAGAAACAAUGGGUGAAUGGAGGGAAGUAAUAGGCUGGUUUGGAAGAAGGAAAAAGAAGAUAAGAUGAAAGGGAGAGGGAUGAAUUCGGCUGAAAAAGAAAAAGGGAGAAAAAGACUACACCAAAAAGGAGAAAACGGCACACUCUAAUUCCUAAUGCCAAAAGUGCUACCCUAAAACCCCUCUGCCGAAAUCUCCUCUCCAAUCCCCUCAAAUCAGCUAACUCUAUCCCCCUCUCAAAUCCCUAAAAUCUCUCCCCUUAUCCCUCAUUAAUCCAUGCAUUUGACUGAUUCAAAUUCUCCCCCAAAGAGUUCCAUUCGGCUACAACUCUUUUUAUGCUCAAAGCAUAAAAAUUAGCAUCAUACUUGCCAUCAUAGGGAAUCAACCCCAGGUCUUCCCCCACACUUACACGCCACCUUCUAAGCUCCUUAGUGGUGUCACCUAGCCACUUUACUAUAGGCUCUUUUUGUGAUACAAUUUACCCACAAAUACUAAUAAGACCACCUAUCCAAGGCCCCUAACUUCUUAAGUCCAAAAUUCAAAAAUUCUACUGAGUUUUGGCCAACACAUGGGCCUUCCAUAGGCCCAUUCACAUACUCAAAUUAUGAAUUUCACAACCACAUACCAAAUUUUAGAAACUUUACUAAAAUAUCGAGAAUCGCGAAAAGCCCAAAAAUCAGGAUGUUACAAAAGAUGCGAUCACAUUUGAUGCAAUCUGUAGUGCGUUGUAUAGUUCUGAGACUCGAAAGAAAGAUAAAAGAGAUCACAGAGAUACAACUACAGAAGUCUUAACAGUAAGAGGUCGUUCACGCAGCAGCAAACCUGAUAGGAGGGGAAAGUUUAAAAUGAGACCUGCCAAAGAUGAAUAUGCCUUUUGUCGUGAGAAAGGGCAAUGGAAAAAGAAUUGUCCUAAGUUACAAAAGGGCAAGGCUAUUUCUAUUGCAUGUGUAGCGGAGCAUGAUGAGGAGUCAGACUUUACCUUGGUUGGCAUGGCAAUGGCAUGUCAUACGGAUGAGUGGAUCUUGGAUUCGGGAUGUACUUACCAUAUGUGUCUUAAUAAGGACUGUUUUUCUAGUCUUAAAGAACUAGAAGGUAGAGUUGUUCUUAUGGGCAAUGAUAGUACUUGUAAGACAAUAGGAGUUGGUACAAUCCAAUUGAAGAAUCACGACGGCUCAAUUCAAGUCUUGAUAGAUGUUCGCUACGUACCUAGCUUGAAGAAAAAUUUCAUCUCAUUAGGGGCCCUAGAAUCUAAAGGGCUGACAAUCAUUUUGAGAGAUGGAUUACUAAAGGUAGUAGCCAGAGAAUUGACGGUGAUGAAAGGCACAAGAAGAAAUAACUUGUAUUUUUUAAAUGGAAGUACAGUUAUUGGAUCAACAUCAACAGUUUCUGUGAAAGAUACAGAUUCAGAGGCUACCAGAUUAUGGCAUAUGCGAUUGGGACAUGCUGGUGAAAAAGCUUUGCAGACUUUUGUGAAGCAAGGCUUGUUGAAAGGUGAAAAUUAUUGCAAAUUGGAAUUCUGUGAAAAUUAUGUUCUGGGCAAGUAGAUGAGGGUAAAAUUUGUUCAGCAAUUCACAAUACGAAAGGAAUUCUGGACUACGAUCACAGUGAAGUAUGGGGACCUACCAAAGUGCCUUCUUUGGGAGGUAUGCACUAUUUUGUUACUUUUUGUUGAUGAUUAUUCAAGGAAAGUAUGGGUGUAUCUAAUGAGAAGAAAAAGUGAAGUUUUGGAUGUAUUUCUAAAAUGGAAGAAGAUGGUGGAGACUCUGGCUGGUCGAAAGGUCAAACAACUUCGAUCAGAUAAUGGUACUGAGUACAAAAAUGAUCCAUUUCUACAAGUAUGUCAAGAUGAGGGCAUUGUGUGACACUUUACUGUUUGGGAUACACCACAGCAGAAUGAGCUGGCAGAACGUAUGAAUCGGACUAUACUGGAGAAAGUUUGAUGUAUGUUGUCCAAUGCUGGAUUGGGCAAGGAAUUCUGGGCUGAGGCAGUUACAUAUGUGUACCAUCUAAUUAACCGCUUGCCAUCAGCUGCAAUAAAUGGAAAAACUCCUAUAGAGACAUGGACUGGUAAAUCUGCUACUGAUUAUGAUUCUUUACAUGUUUUUGGUUCCACUGUAUAUUAUCAUGUAAAAGAAUCUAAGUUAGACCUAAGAGCAAAUAAAUCAUUAUUCUUGGGUAUAACUGAUGGAGUAAAAGGAUACAGUCUUUGGUGUCCUGAUACAAGGAAGAUUGUUUUUAGUAGAGAUGUGACUUUUGAUGAAUCAACCAUGUUAAAGUACAAGGAUUUACAAAAGGAUGACAAAACCAGUAGUACUUUGCAGUAGGUGGAGUUUGAAAAGGUUAAUGAUGAUCCAGCUAAUAUUAGAGGGACAAAUGAUGAAAAAGUUCCGACCCAAGAAUCUCUACAGCAAUAAGAUUCAAUUGCAUAUAGGAGGCCAAGAAGAGAGAUUCAUAAGCCUGCUCACUUUGAUGAUAUAGUGGCCUAUGCACUUCCAAUUACAGAUGAUGAUAUUCCUUCUACUUGCACAGAAGCAAUAAGUAAUCCUGAUGGUGUAAAGUGGAAGCAAGCCAUGAAUGAAGAAAUGCAGUCUCUUCAUAAAAAUAGGACUUGGGAGUUGGUGACACUGCCCAAGGGAAAUAAGGCAAUUGGAUGCAAAUGGAUAUAUAAAAAGAAGGAAGGAUUUCCUGGUAAAAAUGAAAUUCGAUACAAGGCUAGAUUGGUAGCAAAGGGUUACACUCAUAAAGAAGGAAUAGACUAUAAUGAAAUGUUUUCUCCUGUUGUGAAGCAUUUGUCUAUUCAGAUUUUGCUAGCCUUGGUUGCUCAAUAUAAUCUUGAACUAGUUCAGCUUGAUGUGAAGACCGCGUUUUUACACGGUGAUUUGGAAGAGGAAAUCUAUAUGACUCAGCCAGAUGGAUUCAAGGUUGCUGGUAAAGAAAAUUGGAUUUGCAAACUGACAAAGUCACUUUAUGGAUUGAAACAAUCUCCAAGGAAGUGGUACAAGCGAUUUGAUCAGUUCAUGAAAGGGCAAAGGUACACAAGAAGUAAAUUUGAUCAUUGCAUGUAUUUUUAGAAGCUACAAGAAGGAACUUUCAUAUAUUUUCUCUUAUAUGUUGAUGAUAUGUUGAUAGCAUCUAAGAGUAAAGUUGAGAUUGAAAGAUUGAAGACUCAACUCAAUCUCGAGUUUGAGAUGAGCUCAUAGUAGAGUUAGCUUGUCUCAGAAGCAGUAUUUGAAUAAGGUAAUACAGCGGUUUAGCAUGAACGAGCAGACAAAACCUGUAAGUAUUCCAUUAGCUUAUCAUUUUAAGCUUUCGGCACAAUUAUCUCAUUCUACGAAUACAGAACGAGAAUACAUGUUGUAAUUUUCGUAUUCUAAUGCAGUGGGUAGCUUGAUGUAUGUAAUGGUGUGUACAAAACCCGACAUUUCACAGGCAGUUAGUAUAGUGAGCAGGUAUAUGCAUAAUCCUGGAAAAGGACAUUGGCAAGCUGUGAAAUGGAUUCUACGGUAUAUUCAGAAGACCGUGGAUGUUGGAUUACUGUUUAAGCAGGAUAAUACACUUGGUAAAGGCGUUAUUGGGUACGCUGAUUCUGAUUAUGCCGAUGAUUUGGACAAACAAAGAUCAACUACCGGUUAUGUGUUUACAUUUUCUGGAGGACCAAUAAGUUAGAAGUCUACAUUACAGUCUACAGUUGCGUUGUCAACCAUAGAAGCCGAAUACAUUGUUGUAACAGAGGCUAUAAAGAAAGCUAUUUGGUUACAAGAUAUGGUUAAAACCUUGAUAUUGGUCCAGGAGCAUAUUAACGUGUAUUGUGAUAGUCAAAGUGCUAUUCAUUUAGCAAAGAAUCAAGUCUACCAUGCACGUACAAAGCAUAUCAACGUACGAUUACAUUUUGUGCGGGAAAUUAUUGAUGAGGGGAAAAUUUAUCUUUAGAAGAUCAAGACUGUAGAUAAUCCCGCAGAUAUGAUGACCAAGGUGGUAACAGCAACCAAGUUCGAACAUUGUUGGAACUUGAUCAAUAUCCUGCAAGUUUAACAGUUGAAGAAGGCACUAUGAAAUAUUGUUGUCAAAGGCAAAAAGAAUUGUGUGAAGAUAAGAUUAUCCUAAUCAAAUCUUCAAGGUGGAGAUUAUUGGCAAAUAUCCAUACUUUGAAAAGUCAAAGAUAUGGAUGUCAGAAUGUUGGAACCGAAAAUAAGAGUAUUUAUGGCACUGAAAUUUGGUUUGAAAUUUGGCAUGGGAUAAUUGUAAUUUUGGUCCCUAAUUGUAUAGGGAUUUUUGCAAGUUGAUCCCUGAACCUCAACUAUAAAUAGGCCUAACCAUUUCUCAUUUUCUUCAUCUCAUAUUUGUUAUUCUUUACUUAAAGCAUUGUUCUCUCUCCCUAUUUGUAAAUUUUAACUUGUAUUUUGGAUUGAAAUAUAUUUGGUAGUGCCUGAGGACAUAGGCAAAAUUUGUUAAACCUCGUUAAAAUUCUGGUGUUCUUUAUUGUUUAUUUUUGCAUAUUUUUGUAACUAUGAUUGUAGUGAUUUAUUGUGCUAUUAAAUUACGAUAGAGGGAUAUUUUGGCUAGGAAAGACUUGGUACUUAAGUGAUCCUCGUGAUCCACCUCUCUUUCCUGGGAAUUGAACUUAGUGUGAUUUUUCAGUACAAUAAUUUUACUCUCUUACCCACUUCUGCGCAAUAGAAAACAUAUUGGAGUCUAGAAAUAGUUUCAUUAAUGAAAAGAGAUCACCUAAGCAAGCAAGUAUUGGUCCAGACAAUUGGUUAUUUGUCAAGAACAAGAAAGCCAAUUUGUUUAGAUGACAUAACUCAGACAGGAUGAAUUCCUCUAACUUAUUGUCCUCAAUAGAAAGACUUUGCAACUCUUCCAAUCCUCCAAUUGUAGUAGGAAUUUGUCCUAUGAAUUUAUUGCCUCCUAGCUCAAUGUCUAUCAAGUGACUUAAGUUUCCAAUUUCACUGGGCAUGCUACCCCUGGUGUUGCAUGAAUAAGCAGAGAACUCUACAAGAGAACUUGAAAGAUUUCCUACCACUCUUGGAAGUUCACCACUAAUAAAUGGGUUGCUAUUGAAAAAAAAGUUCUCCAAGACUCUACAGUUUGUCAAAGAAAAGAGAAAGCUCAUUCCUGAGGAAGUUAAAUUAUUAAUCUUUAGGUGGAGAUACUUUAACUUUCUUAGAUUGCCCAGAUUAUCAGGAAUGGACCCUGAAAAGUAAUUAUUAGACGUGUGAAGAUUAGUAAGCUGAAAGGCAUUGGAAAUAUACAUUGGGAUCGAGCUGACAAAGUGAUUCAAAUCAAGAUAUAAUUCCUCCAUGUAAUUUGGAAGGAAAAGGCCAAUGUUUGAUGGAAGAUGGCCAGAGAGUUUAUUUAUAACUAAAGAAAUUAUCCGUAGAGUUGAAAUAUUAAAUACUUGUGGAGGAAUAGAACCAGCAAAAUUGUUAGCUUCCAAACUCAACAAUAGUAGAUUCUUUAGAUUGCCAAUCUCAUGUGGUAUUAUACCUGCCAUAAAUUUUAUCAAACAAAAAUAUUAGACAAAUAUGGGGAAAAAAGGAGUUUAUAUAUGAAACAUUUGCUUAUUUUUUUUAAACAUUAUAAAAAAAGUCAAAUUAAAUUAUCUAACAAUGUGUAAAAUUAUGGAUAAUUAGUGUAUCAAAUACGAAUCAACAAUGUCGAAACAAUUUUUAUCUUAAAAAAUAGGGAUCGACUUUAAAAUGAGGUAUGGAGUCGCCACCAAUCCUUUUUGUUUAGGUGUGAUCGGAUCACCUAAUAAAGCAUUUUAUUUUAUUAAAAUAUCAAUUUUGGCCUACGAAGUUGAAGAAAACAAGUUCGGGAGUUGGUUACGUACGAGAAAGGAUUAGCACCCUCGUUACGCCCAAAAAUUGGUACCUAAUCGAUUAAAUAAAGUCCUUAUGUCUAAAAUUUCAAAAAAGAUUUUGAAAUACGAUUUCUUGUAAAAACAUUUGAAUAACUCAAAUUGGACGUUAAAGUUCUCUUGUUUCGAAUGAACACAAUAUCACAUCCAGUACGUUAGGAAACAAUAAUUUGGGCAUAUUGGAAACACAGUAUCAAAUUGGACCUUCAGAGUAUUGAUGAAAAGAUUCGUGGUCUCUUUUUCCAGAAGAGGCUGCUGGACUUGUGUUGCUACCUCUCUCCAUCUUUGGGCAUAUUGUCUGAAACUUUCAUUUGGUUUCUUCUCCAUAUUCUUCAAAGUGAUCCUGUCAGGAGUCAUAUCCAUUACUUGGCUAUACUGCUUCAUGAAUGCUUAUGCUAAAUCUCUUCAUGAACUAAUUCUACUUCGACUCAACUGAUUGUACCAUUUAGAUGCUGCACCCACCAAACUAUCUUGGAAGCAAUGAAUUAGCAAUUGAUCAUUAUUAACAUACCUAGUUAUUCUUAUGCAAAACAUGGUGAUAUGAGCUUCAGGACAACUUCUUCCAUUGUUCUUCUCGAAUUCUGGCAUCUUGAACUUGUAUGGAAAUACUAAGUCUGGGACCAAACUCAGAUCCUUUGCAUCAAUUUCAGGAUGUAUAUCAGCGCUUUCCAUUGCCCUGAACUUUUCCUCCAGCCAUUUACACCGUUCCUCUAAUUAUUUCUAUGAUUCUAUCCUUGCCCUUUCCUCUUUCGUAACUUCAUCCAAAUCAGGCAGAACUGGAUUAUUCAAGUUAUUACCAGGGUUAAAGCCUGAACCAGCUUGGAAAUUCAUUGGUAUUGAAACUCUGGCUUGAAACUAUUGAGGCCCGAUCGUAACAGAUGGUUUCUAUAGAUUUAUCUUAGGUUGUGUUUGUACAUGUGUUGGAGUGAAACCAGGAGGAUAUUGAGGGUCUUCAUUAUUUUCCCCAACAUUGUCCAUAGGAUCUUUCCACUUAUCCAUUCUUCCUACCUGCAACUGGGACAAUUAAGUCAUCAUGUUUCUUUGGGACUCCAUCAUUUGAUCCUUCAUCUCUUGCUAGAUCUUAGCUAGCUGCUAUUGCAUUUGCAUUUGUAACUGGUCUUGCAUUUCUAUUUGAAGUUGUUCAAGUCUUUCCAAUAUUUGGUCCAUAUCUUUUGUCUUAGCAUGUGUACCGUAACGAUACUUGGUUGGUAAGUUUCUAUCGAUUUCCAGAUUAACUAAAAUGAUUUCAAUUAAUUAGGGUCCUUUUGUGAAAAUCUAAUGCAAAUGAUGCAAUAAUGCAAUGCAAAUGUAUAGAAUGAAUGCAAAAGAAAGAAAGGCGUUGAUUUUGAAUUCAAUUCCAUUAGAACAACUUUUCUAGAAAAACAAAUUUCUUUACAUAAAAUGGAUUACAUAUGCGGCCUUGCUUUGAUAUUCCACUUGAAGACACCGAUCCCUUUUCUUCAUAAAAUUCAAAUCUCGCAAGCUUUCAAUAAAUGCCUCCGCUGGCUCAUUUUUGCUUGAUCUAGGCCGCGACUUAUUAUCCUCGUGAUGUUGAUUAGCUCCUUUAAGAAAUUCAGGAUACGACAGCUCUCAAACAAUCUUUAUUAGCUUGAAUCCUCGGGCAAAGUCUUGUUUUCCUCUACGAACUAUCAGGCUUCUUUCGUUGUGUUUACUGGGACCAUAUUCAGACAACCGUAUUAUAAUCCACUUUAUCAAGAAAUCUAUUUUCUCAUGAUAAACUUUUCUAUUUAGCAAUCAAAUAUGAAUCAACACCUCAUUUCUAUGAUGAUGUAAUGCAGUGCAGUCAUAAACAAAACAAAACACAUUAGUACAGAAGAAAUAAAUAACAAAUAAAGUACCUAUUCGGGUGACCACUAAAUUUGGGCACAGUUCUACCUAAGGUGAACUCUCAAGGUUCACUAUAUGUGGCUCGGUUCUAAAGAAAGGGUACCUGAACCAACAGAUUCCUCAAUCCUCACCCAUUAUAAGCUCAUCUGGAUCAAGUUUAGUUCAUGGGAAUACAUUUUCCUAUGACCAUGUGGAGAUGAAAAUCUCACGAAGACAUAGGUACGAAUGUAUCCCGGAAGUAAUCCACUAGCCCAUGCGGAGGUGAAAACCUCACGAAGGCAUAGUUUUUCACUUCCACUUAAAAUGUGUGACCACAACGGUCAUGUAAUGCAAUGCAAUAGUCUACAAGACUCAAACCACACAAUCAUACAAACAAAUGCAACAAAGAAUCAUGAUUUUUCAAAUCAAAAUUUCAAAUUUCAACAAAAGGACAGAAAAUAAUCAAUUUUACGGCCUGACUCUCUUAUUGUUCCCUAGUGGAGUCGUCAAGCUGUCGAAAUCAUUUUUUAUUUUGAAAAACAGGGAUCGACUUUAAAAUGAGGUAUGGAGUCGCCAACAAUCCUUUUUGUUUAGGUGUGAUCGGAUCCCCUAAUAAAUCAUUUUAUUUUAUUAAAAUAUCAAUUUCGGCCUACGAAGUUUAAGAAAAUGAGUUCGGCAGUCAGUUACGUAUGAGGAAGGAUUAGCACCCUCAUUACGCCUAAAAAUUGGUACCUAAUCGAUUAAAUAAAGCCCUUAUGUCUAAAAUUUUAAAAAAGAUUUUGAAGUACGAUUUCUUGUAAAAAUAUUUGAAUAACUCAAAUUGGACGUUAAAAUUCUCUUGUUUCAAACGAACACAGUAUCACAUCCAGCACAUUAGGAAACGAUCCUUUAAACCCUCGAAACCAUAAUCAAUUCUUGAUUUACAAGAGCUCAUACAUUUGAAAAUUACAAAAGGAUAUCCGAUUAUUUGGUCCAGCGAAAAACCAAAACCCAACACGUUGGGGCACGAUUCUCGUAUUUCCAAACAUGGAACAUUGCCUUGUUCUAAAAUUUAGAAAUCGUGAAUGAAGUUUUAAAGGGAUAUUUGAUUAUUUUAGAUAAACGGAGAAUCGAAACCUAGCACGUUAGGACGCGAUUUCCCGAAUCUCCAAACAUCAAACAUUGCCUUUAUUUAGGAAACUUUCAAAUAAACAAUUGUAAAGUCAGUUCAAAAUGCAUUAGUUUGACUUGAAAUAAAAUGGAAUCAUUAAUUUAGGAUUACUAAGUUGAAGAUUUCAAUUGCAAUUUGACACUCGUGAAUGAAAAGGCAAAACUAUAAGCAUGAAACAAUAUACAUGGAUCAUAAGUGAAAAUAGUAUAGAAAUAAGAAAAGAGCAAAUUAAGAUACACACAAUAGCAAUAAGUUCAUAUCGUACAUUAUGCAAAUACUAACGUUAACUUCCAAUGACUUGCAAAUCAAAGAAUCGAUUUUUAAAAGAAAUAUAAAGCCAAUAAACACAAAUAAAAUGCCUCAAGUUUUAAAACAAUGAUAAAUAAGUUUGAAAUCAAUAAUGUGAAAAAAUAAAACAUUUGAAAUAAUAAUACACAUAAUAAUUCAAAAUUAACUUAUAUAUAUAAUUUUAAAAUAAGUAAUAAACAUGAAAGUUUGAAUUAGAUCAAAAAGAUAAAAUAAAUAAAAUAGUAUAUAAAUGGAUUUUAAAACAAAUAUUAAAAGAAGAAAAUUAAGUAAUAUACCAAACAAAAUAUGUCAAUCUAAAUAAAUAAUAUAUAUGAAAUGGAAAACUUAAUAUAAAUAAUGUAUAUAUAAAAAAAUAAUAAUAUAUGAAAUGGUUUGAAAUAAACAAGUAUAUAUAUAUUAAAAUUGGGUCUUUAAAGCAUUAAAUUAUAUAUAUAUAUAGAUAGAUAGAUAGAUAGAUAGAUAGAUAGAUAGAUAGAUUUGAAGAAAUAAAACAUAUAGGCAAGUUUAAUGGGAAAUUUGAGCAAACAAUUUAAUAUAAAUUACGUAAAUAUCAAUGUAUAAAAAUAAAUAUCAUUUAAAACACAAAAUUAUAUAAAAGAGAAUUUUGAAAUAGACAAGUUACAAAAUAGAUAAUUAAAAAAAUGUAUUCACAUGAAAGCAUAAAGAUAAUGAACUAAUCUAAUGUAAACAUCAAUGAAAUGGCUAAAAAUAAUAUAUUAAAAUAAUUUCUUUUUUGAUAAAUGAAUAAUAUGUAACACCCCAAACCCGGCCCAAAAGUUAUGGCCGGAUCCGACAUGCCACAUCAAAAAUGUUAAAAAAAAAAUUUUCCAUUCUAAGUCCAGAAAAUCGUACUUGAUGUUCAAAAGAUUAAUUCAUUAAGGGUUAAAGUGAAUGGAAACUGUGCACAAGGUAGGAAACCGGAAAAGAGGUGGUGAGUCCAUCGGACUGCUUAAGUACCAAGCUCCCUUCGGAUCCAAUCCUAGACAUGCAUACCGCCAUUGCCACACCUUAACGUCAUGGAUAUUUCUAGGAAACCGAUUUGAUUAAGUCAUUUUUAGGAAAAGUGAUUAAUUUUGGAAAAAUACUUUCAUUGCGGAAGCUUUGCUUGUUGUCGUGUUAUUUUGAAAUCAACUGUUGUUUUUGAAAACGCGCCCUAAAGCUAUCCAAUUUCAACAGUUAAAAUAAGUAUUACCUAUCUUAGUAAUACAUAUUAAAACCAUCAAAAAUAAUUAAGCGGCCUUAUUACAUUUAAAAACCUAAAACUUCAAACUUAAAUAAAAGGAUGUCCAGUUCACCAAAAGAAAAUCAAACUUUCAGAACGGGUGGCCACUCCGAAUUCCCUCACAGCUCCAAGCCCACUAUGGUUGGGGAUUUCCUGCGUGGAUGAAAAUAAAAGGGGUGAGUUUGGGGAAACUCAGUGUGUAAGGAAAACCCAUUCAAAGCCCAAGUUAGCUCAAGCCCAUUGGGCCUAAGCCCAUUCAGGUAACAGUGGUACUGGGCCAGAGCCCUUUUCAGAUUACAAUAAACUGGGCCUUAGCCCCUUAUUCAGAUAAUAGUAUGGCCCAUAGGCCCAUUUCAAAAUACAUGCAACAUCAGUAAACAUAUGCAAGCCCAUUUGGGUAACAGUGGUACUGGGCCGAGCCCUUUUCAGAUUACAAUAAACUGGGCCUUAGCCCCUUAUUCAGAUAACAGUAUGGCCCAUAGGCCCAUUUCAAAAUACAUGCAACAUUAGUAAACAUAUGCAAGCCCAUUUGGGGAGACUACUCAACCCACCAACCACUACACUCCACCCGUACCAGCCAUACACUCUAUGUGGGGAAUAGCUCAACCCACCCAGCCCAACACUCCACAGUUGCAGCCUUGCUGCUCAGUUAACAGUAAAUUGAGGCAAAGCCUCCAGUACGUGGACAAGCCACUUUCAAUACUUCCUACGUCAAUAUCCCAGUCUCAUGCAUCAGAUAAUAACAACAUGGCAUGCAGUAAAUAACAACAGUCAAACAUGCAUUUAGGUCAAUUUAACCCUAGGGGUAUUUCGGUAAUUUAUCUCCUAGGGGUAAAACUGUAAAUUUUUCACUUUUAAAGGUAUUUCAGUAAUUUAUCUAUUUUAGGGUUUUUCAUGCAUAUUCCUACCUUUCACGUACUAACAGAAUCACGACCGAGGGUUCUUACCGAAUUGGGCCCGUUGGCCCAUCAUUCCAAUUUUGGCCCAUUAAGCCCAAAAAUAUCGAGGGCACAGAAAUCAUGCACUUUGCAGUCCAAACAUUGCAGCUUACCAAAAACAUUAAUCGAUUUACCUCACGAGCAUUCGCACACUCGCAAAUCUACAAAAUACCGGUUUUCGGCAUUUCGGAUUUUCGGCUUUUGCCGAUCUAGACUAAGAAAGAGGGUGUUAGUUACACACCUGUUUGCGACGAUAUGCUGACGAGAUCCACACACGAACUGCCUUCAAUUGGAUUACUAGCACGUUAAUCUAACUAUUCAAAUACAAACUACGUAUUAACCCCUUAUAAUAUUCGGCCAACCACACCUACAGAUCAUAGUAAGCUUAUAAGAAAUCAAUAAGCAACUCAUUAAUAAAUUUUUGUCAAUGUUUACCACAUAAUCAUAAUUUCACUGCAAGCUGUCUUCCUGAGCAACAGUCACUAAAUUAUUUAUAACUGGAGCUACGAAACUCUAAAUCAAGUUCCGUUAAUUUUCCCUGAAAAUAGACUCAUAUAUCUUAUAUCCAUAAAAUUUUCAGAAUUUUUGGUUUAGCCAAUCAAUACCAGAUUUUUCUCAAAGUUUCCCAUGUUUCACUGUUUGACUAAUCUGACCACUCUUCAUUACGAAUCAAAUUUAUCAUUGUAAAGAAUUCAAAAUAUGUUCUUGUUUAUUUCAUUAGAAACUAGACUCAAUAAGAUUUAAUUACAUAAUUUAUUCAGCUUCUAAUUCAUCUCCCACAAUUUAUGGUGAUUUUCCAAAUUCAAGUUACUGCUGCUGUCCCAAGCAGAUUUAUUACCAAAUCACUCUUUCACACAUACCUUGCAUGCAUGUUAUUUAAACAUGUAUAUCACCAAUCAAUCAUCACAUAUCUAUGAUUUUACUUAAGAAUAAUCUCCAUUUCAUCAUUUUAAAGCACAGCAUGUUAGCUGAUUUUUCCCUUUAACAUCUAAGGCACAUGCAUGCUCAUUUGUUUGGCUCAACUUCACCUAUCUUCCAUUUUUUUUCAUCAAAAGAACAUGAAACAACAACCAUUUCCUUCAUUUUAAUUCAUGACUAAAUGCUCACAACACAACUAAAAACCAAAAUAUGCUUCAAGAGUUAAGGUAGAAUCAAGAAGAACUCAUGAACAUCAAGAUAGAAGCCAACUACCAUGAACUUACCUUCAAUUUUCUUCCCCAAGUGACCGAACACUCAAGAGCUUUCUCCUCUCCUUUCUCUUCUCUAACUUUCAGCUAUGAUGAACAAAGAUGGACAAAACUUUGUUCUUUUCACCCCUUUUUCUUUUAAUAAAACUUCAUAUUUCAUCCAUUUAAUUCUUUAAUACAAAAGACAUGAAAUUCUUAUCAUGAAACAUUUACCUAACCCAUUAUCAUGAAACAUUUACCUAACCCAUUAUCAUGGAACAUUUACCUAACCUAUUAUCAUGGAACAUUUACCUAACCUAUUAUCAAUUUGUAUCAAUUUGUACCAUAAAUUAUGGAUAUCAAGUGCACAUUUUGUCUACAACAACAUGAUGGCUGGCCACUUCAUGUAAAAUGGGAGGUUUGUCAUGCAAAUCCUCCUAUUUUGCACUCCUAUUUAUUUGGUCACUUCAAUUUAGCCUAUAGCAUUUUCAAACAUUUUCACAUAGGUCCUAUUUCAUAAUUUCACUCACAAAUAACAAAAUUAAAGCAUGAAAUUUUGCCAACAUUCACAAAAUUCUCGAAAAUUAGGGCGUUACAUAAUAAAUAAAUUAAAGAGAGUAAAGAAUCACAUUAUACUAAUAAAAACUCAAUUGAAACAAAAACAGAAUCAAAAGGAUAAUUUAUAAAUAAAUCCAAUAUGAAAACAGAAUUAAAGACCAGAAUUAAAUAUGCACAAACAAACAGGGACUAAAAAUGCAAAUGUCCUGAGUCCCUAAAACGCGGCCCUUAGGUGCGGACUAACUUGAAAUAGCAUGCAAAUAUCUAGGCAACAUUAAGAAAAAAAAAAGAAAAUACAAACAGGGUCUAUUCAAAUGAUAGCGCAAAAGGGAAAGACCAAUCGCGAAAUAACCCUCAAAGACCAAAACACGCGGGUCUGACCGUGCAUCGGUCGGGUCAUUGGGUUUCAUCAUGAAACGACGCCGUUUCAACUCCAACACUCCAGGCAUAAAACAUCACUGUUUUAAACAUAUAUAUAAACUAAAACUUUGCCCUAAAACAUUCAUUUGGUCGAUCUUUCAAAAAAAUCUUCGUAAAUAUUUCACAAACCCUUCUUCCUCUCAGUCCAUCCGCGGGCUUCAUCGGUGCCGAAUGUGCCUCCACCAUCGACGCAAUUUUAAUCAGAUCCCUAAGGAUCUAACAACCCUUGGACCGGAGAAGCGAGCAAUGAAUAAAUCGACCCCGAAUCUAGUAAGAAAACCCUUUCCCCUCUUUUUAUAUUUGCAUGAUAGAUUCACAAUAGAGAAAGAAAUAAAAAACAAAAAAGUAAAGGCCAAAAUUGAUGAACGAAUCACCUUAGAGUAUAUUUGCUUACUGUAUUCAAAUGCUAUCUAUGCGUAAUACGUGAAAAAAAAAGAAGAAAAAAAUGAGAUUUCAAAUCACCUCUUGAAAACUGUUUUUUUAUUAACUUUUGGUACCGAUUUGUGUGCACUCCUUCCCUUACAAUGAAAAAUGUUUAUGGAUUUAUAGCCGAAUGAUUACAGUUUUUUCAUUUUUGUUAUUUUUGCUGCUAUUUCGUGCUAUUGCAUGUCCUUUCCUUGCAGGUACAAGAUCGGAUGCAAGCGUGGCAUGCUGGUACGCAAAAGUGGAGGCCGUACGGAGGUGGCUAGGGUUGCGGCACUCUUUGCUGCUAGGGUUUGCUGUUUGGCUAAACCUAGGUUUAGGUUUUGGG